This 497-nucleotide ribosomal RNA is filed under the name uncultured bacterium. RNAcentral's name for it is "partial 16S ribosomal RNA". It matches the Rfam family "Bacterial small subunit ribosomal RNA", at positions 28 to 507 of the family's 1533-position model. The record is from RNAcentral.
GAUGAACGCUGGCGGCGUGCCUAAUACAUGCAAGUCGAGCGAACAGACGAGGAGCUUGCUCCUCUGACGUUAGCGGCGGACGGGUGAGUAACACGUGGAUAACCUACCUAUAAGACUGGGAUAACUUCGGGAAACCGGAGCUAAUACCGGAUAAUAUAUUGAACCGCAUGGUUCAAUAGUGAAAGACGGUUUUGCUGUCAUUUAUAGAUGGAUCCGGGCCGCUUUAGCUAGUGGGGAAGGUAACGGCUUACCAAGGCACCGAUGAGUACCCGCCCUGAGGGGGGGACCGGCCACACGGGAACGGAGACACGGUCCAGACUCCUAGGGAAGGAGCAAGUGGGGAAUCUUGGGAAAGGGGGGAAAGCCGAACGGAGCACCGCCGCGUGAGUGAUGAAGGUCUUGGAUUCGUAAAACUCUGUGAAUGGGGAAGAACAAAUGUGGAAUUGAAUAUGCACGUCGUGACGGUAGCUAAUCAGAAAGCCACGGCUAACUACGUG